GACACGUACUAGCAGCAAGUAAAGAAGACAACGUGCUCCGGUGCUGUGCAGAGCAGAGCAGCGCACCAGCACCAUAUCAUGGCAGAGCACGGCAGAGCAGAGUGGAGCAACAGGGCGGAUCCAUCCGCUUGGAUGAGGGCCCAUCCAUUUGGUCAUAGACCCUUGCAGCGGUGGCUCGGCGGUGCGGUGCGGGUGGCCUGGGGGCGCAGCCUGGGGGUCGUGGCAGCCGGUGAAGGGCACGACGCGGAGAUGCAAACAGCACGGGGGCAGUCGGCGCAACAGCUCGGUGGCCUGUGGAGGUGUCGCGGUCGACGAGGCGUGCGGUGGAGACGCGGCGGAGGGCGGCGUGCCGGCGAGGAAGAUGGCCGGGGUCCGGGAGCCGGGCGUGGGGGUCCGGGAGCCGGAGGAGGACCGCCGCCGUGCGGCUCCCCAGCGGCAAGUCAGAGGAGGGGGCCAACGACGUCGAGCUCGGGGAAGUGCAGAUCAGGUCGGUGACGCUCGAUUUGCGCCUGGAGACGCCAGAUCGAGGCCUGGCGGCGCUCAAUCUACGCCCGGGGGAUGAUGAAUUGAGGCCAAACGGCUGUAGAAGGUGGAGCUACGUAGAAGAGCGCCGACAGCCAGAUAGGCAGAGGUAGACAUGCAGCGACUUGCUUGCUGCUGCUGCGACUCAACUAUGAGAAAAAAAAUAGGUUUGGUGCUCAGGUUGCUGCCCUGUGGGAAACGACGAACUCUGAUACUGUUAGAAUGAGAGGGAAGGAGAUGGCUGAAUGAAGCAGGGAACUACCGGCAGCUCACGUGGAGCACCAAACCACCUAUCAGCAGCUAAUGGUGUUCAUGACAGGAAGCUGCCCGUGGAGGUUCUGGAAGAAUAGAUGCAGUACAUGAUAUCCAUUGAUCGAAGGUUCUUAAUAGUACAUCAUCUAAUAGCAUCUGAUGAGAUGCAAUUGAUGAUGUGUAUCCAACUACCAGCAAGAGUAAGGUAUAAUCUUCAAAGGAACUGAUUCUUGCAUGUAGUGGUCCUCAAAAGAAUUUGCAUUCAGUACUAUAUGUCUAUGUAUAAUAGAGCUUGUAAGUUGCAAGACAGGAGAUUAGGAUGAGAUUAAGAAAUGAAAAAUACUGAUGUCACUUUCUUGGCUGUUUCAAGUAGCACUGCUACAUUUAUCUCUGUACAAGACAAUGUAAGAAUCCGAAACAAUUUUGGGAAUCCUAUACCGCAACAACAUGGACAAUGAAUUCAUAGUGACCAUGUGUUUGUGCUGGCUGACAAUUGGCAAUAUAUUAAGCGGUGCCGAAUAGCCAAGGAAGCUGAGGAACAUAUUGCCAACAAAUUUUGAUACCCAUAUGCAGGCAUAUCGGUUUGCAUCAGAAUGAUAUUCAGUUAAAGUGUCACUCGUCUUCAUGAACUAAGGUGACAUGAUAUAAAAGAAAUAUCUGCUACAAAGUGGACAAAGGAGACGAUGCGCCGCAUCGUUCACCAUCAUUUGAGCUCAACUCUGGAAACCUGACACUUUGUAGAAAGGAAAAGUGGCUACACAUCAACAGGUCACUGAUGUCAUAGUUUGCCUCCAAAAUGUCUGAAGAGCAUGGACUAGCUGGCUAGCAGCUACUUGUCAUGGGUGGGAAAUGCAGCAUAGCUGAAACAUGUCAGUUCUAAUCACUUGAAGCACAAAACUGCAAGGAUGUCAAGGCCUUAAAAUGUCAAGAAUUUUUCAUCAGUGCCAAAAAUAGCAUACCAUUAAAGUAGAGUUUCCCAUACCUUAAACCAAAUUAGACUCGUGCAUAUAAGAGAGAACAAAAGGUGAAAAACUGAAUAUUGCACCACAAGAAGUAGACAUAUUUGCUGGCCCUCUGAUCUUCAUCAAGGAAACAAAAAUCUCUAGCACCUAAAGUAGAGUUGCACAUGGCCUUAGACAAGAAUAUCUUGCAGGUGUAUAAAGAUGAGAUAGCAACCAAAUCCAUGAUAUGUUCUUUUGCAGGAUGUAGUGGGGAGAACAAAAGGCAUGCCAUAGGACUCAGUCCAGCAAUAACAAUUCAGUAGAGACUUGUAUAGAUAGCUCAAGGGACUGAUUGGGUCAUAUCACUCAUAGCUUGUCUGAACGGAUCCAAUGGCAUCUUGUUUGCUUCCAUGUUAUAUUGUUGAAUUCUCUCCCAACUAAUAAUUUGUGUUAAUCAGAAAUUUAUGAGCUAUCUUUGGUUAAAGAUGCAUUGAGUUAUCCCCCCACCCACACACACCCCACACACACAACCCCCACCAAAAUAACAACGGUAACUGGUGUCCUUGUGACAUUGACUAGAAUAUGACUACUCUGAGAUCACUAUCAGUCGCACUAAAUCAUCUUUGUUCUAAAAAGAUUUACCAAAAGCUUUUGGUACAUGAUCGAAUUUUUGUCAUGACUCAGUGUACUGCAUUUUCGGAAAUAUAUUGACAUUGUCAAGGACUCCCAGCAAUUUAA
Molecule: long non-coding RNA, 2453 nt
Organism: Panicum virgatum (switchgrass)
Lineage: Eukaryota; Viridiplantae; Streptophyta; Magnoliopsida; Poales; Poaceae
Exons: 3
Source: RefSeq, a predicted model, not a curated record